UGUCGAAAAAUAUAAAAGAAAAAGAAAUCAAUUUUUAUCUUUUUCAAAGAAAUUAAUCAUAAGUUGUAUUUAAUUUAUCUCUAUCACUUCUUUUAUAACUGACCAACAAUUAGACAUUUAUUUAAAGAAAAGUUAUAUUUCCGGUUACGUGAUUCAAUAUUAUCAAUCGUCGUCGACACCGGCGUAAUCUGACAUGCGGAGGUUUCACCGGAAAAAACUCAGGUAAAAACACUGCACUAAAAUGUAGUGUCACUCGCCGAAAUACCAGAGCAAGCACGUGGGAACGACGAUCGAGUAGUCGCAUCAACUAUCACAGGUUAACAGCAAUAAAGCCACCGCAGAUCGUGGUUGCACAGUUGCACCACCGCACCGGGACUCUCAAGGUUGGUUUAAUUAAUUUACCUGAUUGAUUGUUAGUGUCAGCUGGACGAUCACCUGUAGGUUGAAGACCCCAACAGCAACAGUUCCCCAUAUAGUUGUUUGUUUUCCUCUUCCUUGAACAAACAAAGCUAUUGCUAGCUCAUGCUAGCAGAAAAGUAGAGAGAGAGAAAUGCUGUAAGGUCUAUCUGAAGUGAUUUUAUACUAUUGUAUUAUAAUAAUACAAUAAUGAUAGUGAAAAGAGUGCCCACAAGUGAGAACACGGAAUUGUACUUGUAGGUGAAGCUAACAAAGAAGUUUCCUAGAACACUCCCAGUAAAAUGUAAUUCUAAACACGCGCACUUUUUAGUGUUAUCAUCCCUUUUUUGGCUUCUUUA
This is a long non-coding RNA of Lathyrus oleraceus (garden pea), 755 nucleotides long. RefSeq lists it as uncharacterized. NCBI's taxonomy places the organism in Eukaryota, Viridiplantae, Streptophyta, Magnoliopsida, Fabales, Fabaceae. The record is from RefSeq and is a predicted model, not a curated record. The transcript has 2 exons.